RNA transcript from Pseudophryne corroboree (corroboree frog), 1298 nucleotides. It is a transcript of the gene named histidine triad nucleotide binding protein 3, with no coding region annotated. The record is from RefSeq and is a predicted model, not a curated record. The transcript has 6 exons. Lineage: Eukaryota; Metazoa; Chordata; Amphibia; Anura; Myobatrachidae.
AUGUCUGCACAGGCGGAGGAGCGGGGCCCGGACAGCUACGACAGCAGGUGCAUCUUCUGCAAGAUCUCCAAUGAGCAGGAGAGCGGCUCCGAGCUGCUGCACAGUGACGAGGACCUGGUCUGCUUCAAAGAUAUAAGACCUGGAGCACCAUAUCAUUACCUGGUGGUACCCAAGAAGCAUGUGGGAAACUGUAAAACUUUAACAAGUGAUCAUGUGCAGUUAGUAAAGAAUAUGGUGGAAGUUGGGAAGAACGUGCUACAGAAAAACAAUGUCACGGAUUUGGAGGAUAUAAGGUUGGGUUUCCACUGGCCUCCAUUCUGUUCAAUAUCCCAUUUACAUCUGCACGUCCUGGCUCCAGCCAGCCAGCUGGGAUUUCUCUCCCGAAUGGUUUACAGACUCAAUUCUUACUGGUUUAUCACGGCUGAUCAGCUUAUGGAGCGUCUACAAGCAAACACACCUACAAGCUGAAGUAUGACUUGUUUGUUAGUGGGCUCAAUUCAAGUUUACUGUGACAGGCAGUACCGGACAAGAAAUAAUUACUGGAUUGAAACCACUGAACAAAUAUAAAUCCUCAUUAAUGGCCAAGAAUAUGCGUAAUGGAGACUGUGAGCUGUACUGGUGACCUUGUCCAUUGUAUGUUAUCCCAUCGAAGCAACCUGAAGGAGCUACACUGUAUUGGAAGUAUAGCUAAAUCACAUCUACUUUUUUCCGAUAAUUUAGAAAACCCUGCAUUUAAGCAUGAUCAUAAAGGUUUAUCUGUUAACUGUGACUUGUAGGCAAAGAUAUUAUAUUGCAGGUGGGAGAGACAUGUCAAUGUAAGUAUAACGUGCUAUACACUACUACAUUUUUUUUAUUUUUUUUAUUUAUUUGUAGUAUUUUUACAUUCCUUUUCCUUUUUUCUUCCAAAAGAAAAAACUUUUAAGUGAUUGCAGAUGUAAUUGCCACUAUUAAUCCAGGAACAUACAGCUCUAAAAUGAAUAAGAGACACAUCAACUGUACAGUGUGUGUAGAGGAUGAUGCAACUGAAUAAACUGCUCACAGCUCUUGUCUAAUAUAGUGCCACCUACACUACACACUAUCUGUGAGGGGCAAGUACCUGCCCAGAUGCUGGGACCCUCUCUGCCCUGUGUGAUGUCAGAAUGGCAAAGCAGCUGAUUAGACAAUUAACAUUGAGGCUCACAUGCAUCAUACCGUACGUGGUAGUGGUUUAUUGAUUAAAACAACUCUGCCUCUCCGGUAUGUGUCUGCUAUUAAAUAACUGAGCGGCAGAUGUAGAAAGCCUGGAGAAGUGAUAAAGC